This is a small nucleolar RNA of Lemur catta (Ring-tailed lemur), 102 nucleotides long. RefSeq annotates it as small nucleolar RNA U13. The transcript has a single exon. NCBI's taxonomy places the organism in Eukaryota, Metazoa, Chordata, Mammalia, Primates, Lemuridae. The record is from RefSeq and is a predicted model, not a curated record.
AUCCUCUUGCAGUUCAUGAGCAUGGUGAUUGUGUUUUCAUGGUCACGUUCCUAAGCUGUGCCUCCCUCAAACCUUGUUAAGACACACAUUACCCUUCUGACA